Molecule: ribosomal RNA, 465 nt
Filed under: Vreelandella stevensii
Lineage: Bacteria; Pseudomonadati; Pseudomonadota; Gammaproteobacteria; Oceanospirillales; Halomonadaceae
Description: partial 16S ribosomal RNA
Rfam family: Bacterial small subunit ribosomal RNA
Source: RNAcentral
CCUACGGGUGGCUGCAGUGGGGAAUAUUGGACAAUGGGGGCAACCCUGAUCCAGCCAUGCCGCGUGUGUGAAGAAGGCCCUCGGGUUGUAAAGCACUUUCAGUGAGGAAGAACGCCUGGUGGUUAAUACCCAUCAGGAAAGACAUCACUCACAGAAGAAGCACCGGCUAACUCCGUGCCAGCAGCCGCGGUAAUACGGAGGGUGCGAGUGUUAAUCGGAAUUACUGGGCGUAAAGCGCGCGUAGGUGGCUUGAUAAGCCGGUUGUGAAAGCCCCGGGCUCAACCUGGGAACGGCAUCCGGAACUGUCAAGCUAGAGUGCAGGAGAGGAAGGUAGAAUUCCCGGUGUAGCGGUGAAAUGCGUAGAGAUCGGGAGGAAUACCAGUGGCGAAGGCGGCCUUCUGGACUGACACUGACACUGAGGUGCGAAAGCGUGGGUAGCAAACAGGAUUAGAUACCCUGGUAGUC